RNAcentral lists this ribosomal RNA (253 nucleotides) under uncultured bacterium. Its description in RNAcentral is "partial 16S ribosomal RNA". It matches the Rfam family "Bacterial small subunit ribosomal RNA", at positions 524 to 776 of the family's 1533-position model. The record is from RNAcentral.
UACGUAGGCAGCAAGCGUUGUUCGGAAUUACUGGGCGUAAAGAGUGCGUAGGCGGUGCUCUAAGUCUGUUGUGAAAUCUCCCGGCUCAACUGGGAGGGUGCGGCGGAAACUGGAGUGCUCGAGUGUGGGAGAGGUAAGCGGAAUUCCUGGUGUAGCGGUGAAAUGCGUAGAUAUUGGGAGGAACACCAGUGGCGAAGGCGGCUCACUGGACCGGUACUGACGCUGAGGCGCGAAAGCGUGGGGAGCAAACAGG